CCCCGCCCGGUGGCCGCCAGCCUCCUCAUGUGACGCGGGAACAGCUGCGGCCUGAGUCACCACGGUCAGCCAGGGGAGGGCCGAGCCCCCCGCCCGGCAGGGCCACGUGGCCACUAACCCAGAAGACUGUACCCACCCCCGCAAAGGGAAGGCACUCAGGGCCGCACUUAAUCGCGCCCGGGGCCCUUGUGGAAGCAGGACGGAGCGCCGCCGGGUUCUCUUUGAUUCUUGGAAGCAGAGGAGGCGGGUAAGAGCCAAAGGAAGGAUGGACGACACAGAGUUGCCCUCUAAGCGCCCAGACGGCAGAGCUGAGGCAAAGUGAAAAGGUGGUCUGCGCGAGGCGUCCUCAUCCUUCAUCGCCCAGAGCCCACCCGGAUCCUCCUCGCGCUUUCUGUUUUAAGCUCCCGCCCCCAUUCUCGGGUCUGCAGAAAGCUACGGGCUGCCUGGGAUCGGGUGGGGCCAGAAUAAACAUUUACAGAAAGUCCCUGGCCUCAGGUCUUGGGAGUCUCCCAACAUUUCUAGCCUGCGUGGAGGGGCGGCGGGGAAGUUCAUGUCCC
RNAcentral lists this long non-coding RNA (557 nucleotides) under Marmota monax (woodchuck). The record is from RNAcentral. Lineage: Eukaryota; Metazoa; Chordata; Mammalia; Rodentia; Sciuridae.